AUAUAAUUUGCCCAGGAUUACCUGUUUAUUAAGUGGAGGAGCUAGAUUUACAUUUGAGUUCUUUAGAUCCAUUGCUUGUGUCAUUGACCAGUAGAUUAAUACAGAUAUACAUUAUCCAAAUUUUAUUCGGUAUUUUUAUAUAGAAGCAGCUCUGUGAACCUGGAGACUGAAAUUCGCAAUUCUCGCUUUUUGACUAUACCACAUUUGUGACAUGAGCAGGAUAGCUUCUCUGAUCUUUAGUCAUUUCAGCUAGAAAAUAAGGAGAUUGUAUGAAGUUUACUGUUGAAUAUGUUUUUGUGUAUACAAGGUCGUGAAGUUGAAAGAGACUCACCUUGAUGUGGUCUGAACCCAACCUAUGGAAUCUCAUCUUUCAAACGCUGUGUGAUGGAAGGCAGAUUAAUUACUAUUAAACCUCAUUCAGAAAAGUUGAGCUUCUUGAAUAUUAAAUGUGAUAUAAUAUCACAACACAGUAUGUAAGGCACUGUGUGUGAACUGUGGAGGUGAUAGAGAAGGUGACCUGGCCAAUGGAAUUUACAUUUCAGUGGGGAAGCAGAGAGUUAACAGUGACCCUGUGGAACCAAGACAUCUCUUGUUAAGUAAAAGGUAAUGGAUUACAACAAGUUAAUUUUUAAAAAUCCUGAAGAAAGUGCUACUCUUCCACAGAGGCAGUGUCUACUCUUUUUUUUUUCACAUUUGUAGUUUUGGAAGUUUAAGUAGAGUACCAUAGCUCCUGUACCAGGACAGACUUAGAAGGGAGUUAAAAGACCUUGAACAUAGAAUCAAAGUUAGUAUCAAAUAGAGAAUGGACGAGAAAGCAAAAGGAAGGUUGUAUAAAGUGGUGGCAUGUCAUCUACAGUUUGUUUCUUUCCUUAUAAUACUUGCCUUGAGCUAGCCAGGGAAAUAAUAGACUGUAGCAGUCAGCUCUUAAAAAUGACUUUUCUAUCAUUGUUUUUGCUAUGACCUGUCAGCCACUCAUGACCUCUGUUCUGUGGUGCAGGACUGAGGAAUGCACCUUCCUGUGAACUGUUUCUUCUGGCAGUGCUGGAAGUAAAAGGAUGCCUCAUCUUGUG
RNAcentral lists this long non-coding RNA (1070 nucleotides) under Heterocephalus glaber (naked mole-rat). Its description in RNAcentral is "lncRNA (ENSHGLG00100039802.1)". The record is from RNAcentral. Lineage: Eukaryota; Metazoa; Chordata; Mammalia; Rodentia; Bathyergidae.